Long non-coding RNA from Pan troglodytes (chimpanzee), 2630 nucleotides. RefSeq lists it as uncharacterized. The record is from RefSeq and is a predicted model, not a curated record. Lineage: Eukaryota; Metazoa; Chordata; Mammalia; Primates; Hominidae. The transcript has 2 exons.
AGUCAGUCUGAAGUCCGGCCGGAUGGGAAUUGGACAGACACACUUCCGGCUAAGUACGGGCGUAAUAAUGGUGAUGAAAACUGUUCACCGUUCCUUUGAGUUCCUCGUAGAUUCUGGAUAUUAGUCCUUUGUUGGAGGUAUAGAUUGUGAAGAUUUUCUCCAAUUCAUCGCCGUUUUUUAGAGUUUUUCUCACUAAAUAUUGACUAACGGAACCUAGCCCUGUAAUGUUGAUAAUCGGGCGGGUCGGAAGUGGCUGAGGCGGAGUCUCUGCAGGAGAAGAACUGAGGCUCCUAAGUGCAGCAUCUUGUCCAGGAGGUUUCGUCCCAAUGCGUGGGGGAACAUCCGCAUUGUGAUGUUUAGCUCUCAGUUUCUAACUUGGGCAUUCUAGCAUCUGUAUUUCUCAUUUAAUGUUUUAUGGGCUCACAUGCAGAGGAGUUUUCGUCACUGAAAAGCCCGACAACUUCCCCUGCCAACCCAUUGGAAUUAAAAAAACCUCGAUAACCUCUUAAACACAUGGAAAUGGAACCCUGAGCAGAGGUAAAAGCCUAGCAGUGAUCACUCUUUUGGCGACUUGGAAAUCGGGGUGAGCUUUUAUCCGUUACCUGUGCCCUGUUGUUAGGGGUCGACUGCUGCUGUUCUUCCUUGGAAACUGGCUCCACCGCAUUUCGGGGCUGGGAUGUUGUUAAAGCAUUCACAGCCCUCAGAGCACAUGACGAGGGAGUUGGGAAAUGAAGCAGGACCUUCCACUUUGUAGCAGACUUAUUUCUGGAGAAACUGAUGGUUGGGGCCACAAAACGCUUUCAGUGUAGGCUCAUCAUGACUCAUUUGGACAUCCUAUUUUCUCUCCUUAUGUAUGAGAUUGUGGCGGGUAUCUGUACAGCCUAAGGACCUUGGGUGGACCUGGCCAGCAAUGGGACUGUUACUGAUGAUGCAUCACAUGGUGUCACUAGGAAAAGCAUAGAUCAGCUGAGGAUCAAUCUUCCCACCAGGUGUGUGUGAAAAUGUAGGUUAUGUGCUUCCUUCAGCCUCACACCUGUUGUCCACACCAGAAUCUGGAAGUAAUCUCAUUGGAAUUGGGAGAAUGAUUGAUGAUACUCAGUGGUGUAGUGAUUUGGAGAGGGGACAGGCUCAGCGUCAGUAUUUCUGCUGCAUUCCUCUGUAAACAUCUCAUGAAGUGGCUGAUUUGUGAGAAGAGGAUCAUCUACCUCCUGCAUUCCAUCUCAUGAAGUGGCUGAUUUGUGAGAAGAGGAUCAUCUACCUCCUGCAUUCAAUCUCAUGAGUAGUUGGGAAGAACAGAUGAAGUGAGGCUGUGAAGCACUGUUGCAAUCUAAGGCACUGCUCAGACAUUGGUUGAGGCUCUAACCCAUGGUCUCCCUGGAGUGGUGACUCCUGUGGUCUCCGGGGACCUUUCUCCUUCUGUGUGUGCAGCUCCAGCCAGGGUAUUUGAAGGUAGAACAUUCUUUAGGAUACAGAAUAAUGAAGCCUCAGGGUUCAUUUCAGAUUUCCUAGCAGGCUGGAUAGGGGGUGUUGUUCUUGGGAAGUUCCUCCUGGCGUCUCUGAAAUCAUUCAGAAAAAGGUUGUCCAGGUGCCUCUAGAGGGUGUUCUUGGCUGAUGUUUGUCCUGUGUUCCUCUGACUGCUAGGCUUAAGCGUCUUCAACUCAGAGUUCAAUUCCUCACAUGCUGGAAGGCAGGACAGCGAGCACUCUGGGAGGUCCACCAAGCACUUUGUGCUCCAUUCCCUGCACUGUCUGCUCAGGAAACCUCCUCACGCAACCAUCUGAGGCCUGGUCCUUAAAGUGGAACCUGUCACGCUGGAGCUGAGUGUUGCCUCGGUCCACACAGCAUCUUGGAGACAUUUAUGGUUUCUGCUCUGAGUGUCUCUUGAUGGAAUUGUUAGUGGCUGCUGCAAUGCAGAUAAUAUGGAAAACUAUUGUGGUAACUGUGGCUGUUGGCAUGGUGGCUUUCCACCUGGGAUCCCUGGAGUCUUGGCGCCUGGCAGGGGCAGCCCUGGGAGGAGGAGGAGGAGGAGACUGAGCUGGUGAGGACCUGAGCUGUUGAUCCCUUCUCUCCCACCCUCUAUGUGCCCUUAAUCCAAAGCAGUUUUUAACCUCCCCGCCUUUUGUAAAUGAUAAAGUUUUGGAUAAGAUGUUAUUUAAAGAAAGAUUUUGAUGCCAAGACAUGUUGAAAGUCCCUGCAGUGGGGAAGUCAGGAAAAGUUGGUAUGAUGCUGGGUUAUUAACCUUCUUUGGUGCAAGACCUUUUUUUGAGAUGUGAUGAAACUGUUUCUCCAAAAAAAGCUCAUACCCCACAAUAUUGCGUCAGGAUUGCUGAGGCCAUCUGUGCAUGUGGCCCACAGCCCUGGUUAGGGAUCCCUUGUCAAUUGGGAAGAUUAUGGGUUGUGGAUACAGGCAGAUAGAGAUUUAACCCUGCCUCAGACUUCACUCACUUUUUAACCUCAGGGUAUCUUAGUAAACGUCUUUACAUUCCAGUUUGUUGUCUGUAAAACAGGGACAAUUAUGUAUUUUUGUGAAGAUGAGAGAACUUCAAAUGUCAAAUCACAUGGUAGGUGUUAAGUAAAUUGUAACUACUAAAAGGCAGUAAAGUGAUGAUUAAACAUUUAUUAAUACUUCA